AAAUUACUUAGAGACUAAUUGAAAACAAAUGUUAUAAAUAGUUUUAAGUAAACAUUAAAACAAUUUAACCAAUUAAACACCAUAACUAAAAUUUAAUUAAUUUUUGAUCAUUCUGCUCUUCACCUUAUAUAUAAUUUUCAAUAACAAAAAAAUGGAUACAAAAUUUUUUGAAUAGCGUAAGACAAAAAGAUUGAAUAAUUUAAAAUUAUUUUAUAUUUGUCGAUAGCUACUUAUAUGUUUAUGAUAGAUUAUAAAAUUUA
RNAcentral lists this long non-coding RNA (260 nucleotides) under Brassica napus (rape). RNAcentral's name for it is "long non-coding RNA (BNAP_LNC023328)". Lineage: Eukaryota; Viridiplantae; Streptophyta; Magnoliopsida; Brassicales; Brassicaceae. The record is from RNAcentral.